AUGCUAAUACCGCAUAACAACUUGGACCGCAUGGUCCGAGCUUGAAAGAUGGCUUCGGCUAUCACUUUUGGAUGGUCCCGCGGCGUAUUAGCUAGAUGGUGGGGUAACGGCUCACCAUGGCAAUGAUACGUAGCCGACCUGAGAGGGUAAUCGGCCACAUUGGGACUGAGACCCGGCCCAAACUCCUACGGGAGGCAGCAGUAGGGAAUCUUCCACAAUGGACGAAAGUCUGAUGGAGCAACGCCGCGUGAGUGAAGAAGGGUUUCGGCUCGUAAAACUCUGUUGUUAAAGAAGAACAUAUCUGAGAGUAACUGUUCAGGUAUUGACGGUAUUUAACCAGAAAGCCACGGCUAACUACGUGCCAGCAGCCGCGGUAAUACGUAGGUGGCAAGCGUUGUCCGGAUUUUUUGGGCGUAAAGCGAGCGCAGGCGGUUUUUUAAGUCUGAUGUGAAAGCCUUCGGCUCAACCGAAGAAGUGCAUCGGAAACUGGGAAACUUGAGUGCAGAAGAGGACAGUGGAACUCCAUGUGUAGCGGUGA
RNAcentral lists this ribosomal RNA (538 nucleotides) under Lactiplantibacillus plantarum. RNAcentral's name for it is "bacterial SSU rRNA". It matches the Rfam family "Bacterial small subunit ribosomal RNA", at positions 160 to 684 of the family's 1533-position model. Lineage: Bacteria; Bacillati; Bacillota; Bacilli; Lactobacillales; Lactobacillaceae. The record is from RNAcentral.